AGGUUGGCUCAGAAGCAGCCAUCCUUUAAAGAGUGCGUAACAGCUCACUAGUCGAGUGACCCUGCGCCGAAAAUGUACCGGGGCUAAGCCUGAUACCGAAACUGCGGAUUGUAGGAAACUAUAGUGGUAGGGGAGCGUUGUAUACGAGCAGAAGCCGUACCGUGAGGAGCGGUGGAUUGUAUAGAAGUGAGAAUGCCGGUGUGAGUAGCGAGAUGUAGGUGAGAAUCCUACACACCGAAAGCCCAAGGAUUCCAGGGGAAGGUUCGUCCGCCCUGGGUAAGUCGGGACCUAACGCGAGGCCGAAAGGCGUAGUGGAUGGAAAGCAGGCGAAAGAUUCCUGCACCCGUAUAUGGAGCGAAGGAGUGACGGAGACGGAUAGUGUGACCCUCUUAAUGGAUUGAGGGCGAAGCGAAGCGGCUGGUUACCAGGCAAAUCCGGUAACCAAAAGGCUAGAGCGUGACAGGUAAGCGAAAUCUUAGGAAAGUAGCGAAGCACAUGAUGACGGCUUCCAGGAAAAGCUUCUGGCAAUGCAUAUGCGGCCCGUACCAAAACCGACACAGGUGGGCAGGGAGAGAAUCCCGAGGUGAGCGAGAGAACUGUUGCCAAGGAACUCGGCAAAAUGACUCCGUAAGUUAGCGAGAAGGAGUGCUUAAGCAAUUAAGCCGCAGUGAAGAGGCCCAAGCGACUGUUUAACUAAAACACAGCUCUCUGCGAAGUCGCAAGACGAAGUAUAGGGGGUGACACCUGCCCGGUGCUGGAAGGUUAAGAGGAUCUGUUAAGAGCGAUCUGAAGCAGUGAUCCGAAGCCCCAGUGAACGGCGGCCGUAACUAUAACGGUCCUAAGGUAGCGAAAUUCCUUGUCAGGUAAGUUCUGACCCGCACGAAAGGUGUAACGAUUUGGGCGCUGUCUCGGCAGCAGACUCGGUGAAAUCUUAGUACCUGUGAAAAUGCAGGUUACCCGCAACUAGACGGAAAGACCCCAUGGAGCUUUACUGCAGCCUGAUAUUGAAUUCUGGUCAUACAUGUACAGGAUAGGUGGGAGACAAAGAGACGUGCACGCCAGUGUACGAGGAGUCGACGUUGGGAUACCACUCUUGUGUGACCGGGGUUCUAACCUGGUAUCGAGAACAGGUACGGGGAGAGUGUCAGGUGGGCAGUUUGACUGGGGCGGUCGCCUCCCAAAGAGUAACGGAGGCGCCCAAAGGUACGCUCAGAUUGGAUGGAAACCAAUCGUCGAGUGCAAUUGCAGAAGCGUGCUUGACUGUGAGACAAACAAGUCGAACAGGGACGAAAGUCGGGAAUAGUGAUCCGGCGGUGCCGAAUGGAAGGGCCGUCGCUCAACGGAUAAAAGCUACCCUGGGGAUAACAGGCUGAUCUCGCCCAAGAGUUCACAUCGACGGCGAGGUUUGGCACCUCGAUGUCGGCUCAUCGCAUCCUGGAGCUGGAUUCGGUUCCAAGGGUUGGGCUGUCCGCCCAUUAAAGCGGUACGCGAGCUGGGUUCAGAACGUCGUGAGACAGUUCGGUCCCUAUCUGU
RNAcentral lists this ribosomal RNA (1533 nucleotides) under human gut metagenome. Its description in RNAcentral is "bacterial LSU rRNA". It matches the Rfam family "Bacterial large subunit ribosomal RNA", at positions 1098 to 2645 of the family's 2925-position model. The record is from RNAcentral.